UUGCGGCCAUAUCACAUUGAAACAGUGAUUCCCAUUCAAUCGCCGAAGUUAAGCAUCGUCAAGCCUCGUCAGUAUCUAGAUGGGUGAUCGCUUGGAAAUACCAGG
Acanthosepion pharaonis is the source of this 105-nucleotide non-coding RNA. Lineage: Eukaryota; Metazoa; Mollusca; Cephalopoda; Sepiida; Sepiidae. The record is from the annotation of a GenBank genome assembly.